Molecule: transfer RNA, 84 nt
Filed under: Parcubacteria group bacterium
Lineage: Bacteria
Description: tRNA-Leu
Rfam family: tRNA
About the family: Transfer RNA (tRNA) molecules are approximately 80 nucleotides in length. Their secondary structure includes four short double-helical elements and three loops (D, anti-codon, and T loops).
Source: RNAcentral
GCGGACGUGGUGGAACUGGUAUACACGCAGGCUUGAGGGGCCUGUCUUCGCAAGAGGGUGAGGGUUCGAAUCCCUCCGUCCGCA